Molecule: transfer RNA, 71 nt
Filed under: Crella elegans
Lineage: Eukaryota; Metazoa; Porifera; Demospongiae; Poecilosclerida; Crellidae
Description: tRNA-Glu
Rfam family: tRNA
About the family: Transfer RNA (tRNA) molecules are approximately 80 nucleotides in length.
Source: RNAcentral
CCAUCUAUAGUCUAAGGGAAAGACAUUUGGUUUUCGACCGAAGUAUAGGGGUUCGAGUCCCCUUAGAAGGA